ACUGAACGCUGGCGGAAUGCUUUACACAUGCAAGUCGAACGGCAGCACGGACUUCGGUCUGGUGGCGAGUGGCGAACGGGUGAGUAAUGUAUCGGAACGUGCCCAGUCGUGGGGGAUAACGUAGUGAAAAUUACGCUAAUACCGCAUACGAUCUAUGGAUGAAAGCGGGGGAUCGCAAGACCUCGCGCGAUUGGAGCGGCCGAUAUCAGAUUAGGUAGUUGGUGGGGUAAAGGCCCACCAAGCCAACGAUCUGUAGCUGGUCUGAGAGGACGACCAGCGACACUGGAACUGAGACACGGUCCAGACUCCUACGGGAGGCAGCAGUGGGGAAUUUUGGACAAUGGGCGAAAGCCUGAUCCAGCCAUUCCGCGUGCAGGAUGAAGGCCCUCGGGUUGUAAACUGCUCUUGUACAGAACGAAAAGGUUUCUACUAAUACUAGGAGCUCAUGACGGUACUGUAAGAAUAAGCACCGGCUAACUACGUGCCAGCCGCCGCCGUAA
This 500-nucleotide ribosomal RNA is filed under the name uncultured bacterium. RNAcentral describes it as "partial 16S ribosomal RNA". It matches the Rfam family "Bacterial small subunit ribosomal RNA", at positions 30 to 523 of the family's 1533-position model. The record is from RNAcentral.